ACCAGACAGGCCGCCCACGUCCAUCUUCUUCAGGUUCUUGGCCUCAAGGAUACAAACGGUCAGUUUGCCCGCAGUAGGAACGUAACGCAGGGAGAUGCAGAUGUCACCAAGCUUCUCAGGCUGUAUGGAAAAGAUAUCAAUCGCUUUCCAGGUCUCUCCACUCUUCAAUGGGCUGACCCAGAUCCAGAGUGUUCAUGGGUAGUUUUACCUCGCCGAUGAUGUCGUGUUUGGAGAAGCGGUCAUAGUCGUACACACACAUGACCAGUGUCUUCCCACCCAGCUCCUGGAUGAACACUUUAACGUAAGGAUCGGACGUUCCGCCAGAGUCCAUGGAAAUCAAGUCGGCACAUUGCAAGAUUCCGACGGUCAGCUGUGGAUAAAAACAUAGUGGAAAAAUAGAAUCAAGAGGUUUAAUAAAUGAAAAUAAUUUCUUGUAGGAAAAAUUCCAAAUGAGAUUUCUUUAAUAUAUCAAUGAGAUUAAAUGAAGAGCAAAUAGAGCUUCUCAGAUUUUUACAAUACAAUUUUCCUUUGGAUGUGCUCGCUCGGAAAGGGCUGUGAAAUGUCUGUCAGGCUUUAUGCAUAAAUUUAAACUGAAUUAUAAACUGAAAGUCUUAUUCAUAAAUACACUACUGUUCAAAAGUUUGUUUAAAAAAAAAAAGAAAUGUAUACUUCUAUUCAGUAAGAAUGCAUUAAAUUGAUCAAAAG
This is a long non-coding RNA of Megalobrama amblycephala (Wuchang bream), 705 nucleotides long. RefSeq lists it as uncharacterized. The record is from RefSeq and is a predicted model, not a curated record. Lineage: Eukaryota; Metazoa; Chordata; Actinopteri; Cypriniformes; Xenocyprididae. The transcript is spliced from 3 exons.